GCGAGGCCGAAAGGCGUAGUCGAUGGGAAACAGGUUAAUAUUCCUGUACUUGGUGUUACUGCGAAGGGGGGACGGAGAAGGCUAUGUUAGCCGGGCGACGGUUGUCCCGGUUUAAGCAUGUAGGCUGGUUGUCCAGGCAAAUCCGGAUAAUCAAGGCUGAGGUGUGAUGACGAGGCACUACGGUGCUGAAGUAACAAAUGCCCUGCUUCCAGGAAAAGCCUCUAAGCAUCAGGUAACAUCAAAUCGUACCCCAAACCGACACAGGUGGUCAGGUAGAGAAUACCAAGGCGCUUGAGAGAACUCGGGUGAAGGAACUAGGCAAAAUGGUGCCGUAACUUCGGGAGAAGGCACGCUGGUGUGUAGGUGA
Molecule: ribosomal RNA, 367 nt
Filed under: Klebsiella pneumoniae
Lineage: Bacteria; Pseudomonadati; Pseudomonadota; Gammaproteobacteria; Enterobacterales; Enterobacteriaceae
Description: bacterial LSU rRNA
Rfam family: Bacterial large subunit ribosomal RNA
Source: RNAcentral